UACGGAGGGGGCAAGCGUUGUUCGGAAUUACUGGGCGUAAAGGGCGCGUAGGCGGCCUGCUAAGUCGAACGUGAAAUCCCCGGGCUCAACCCGGGAACUGCGUCCGAUACUGGCAGGCUUGAAUCCGGGAGAGGGAUGCGGAAUUCCAGGUGUAGCGGUGAAAUGCGUAGAUAUCUGGAGGAACACCGGUGGCGAAGGCGGCAUCCUGGACCGGCAUUGACGCUGAGGCGCGAAAGCCAGGGGAGCAAACGGG
Molecule: ribosomal RNA, 253 nt
Filed under: uncultured bacterium
Lineage: Bacteria
Description: partial 16S ribosomal RNA
Rfam family: Bacterial small subunit ribosomal RNA
Source: RNAcentral